RNAcentral lists this small nucleolar RNA (149 nucleotides) under Canis lupus familiaris (dog). RNAcentral's name for it is "Small nucleolar RNA SNORA15 (ENSCAFG00000027744.3)". It matches the Rfam family "Small nucleolar RNA SNORA15". From Rfam's summary of the family: ACA15 is a member of the H/ACA class of snoRNA that guide the sites of modification of uridines to pseudouridines. RNAcentral also lists the same sequence under 1 other name. The record is from RNAcentral. Lineage: Eukaryota; Metazoa; Chordata; Mammalia; Carnivora; Canidae.
GCAUGGCCAAAUACUGUGUUCUUUUUUAUCAGUUGUUUACAUAGCCAGACAUCAUGCAAAAAAAAUAAGAAAUAAAGCAUUCUUCCCUAUAGAGUGGUUACCAUGGCAUGCUAAGCUUUUCCAUAUCAUUAUUAAAGGGAAAUACAAAU